Molecule: ribosomal RNA, 1445 nt
Filed under: metagenome
Description: bacterial SSU rRNA
Rfam family: Bacterial small subunit ribosomal RNA
Source: RNAcentral
AGAGUUUGAUCCUGGCUCAGAUUGAACGCUGGCGGCAUGGCUAAAACAUGCAAGUCGUGGGAGAACCCUUCGGGGGGACACCGGCGAAAGGGCGAGUAAUGGUAUCGAACGUGCCCAGAGGUGGAGGAUAGCGUCGGGAAACUGGCGGUAAUACUCCAUGUGCUCUACGGAGGAAAGCUACGGCGCCUCUGGAGCGGCGAUACUCCUAUCAGGUUGUUGGUGGGGUAAUGGCCCACCAAGCCAAAGACGGGUAGCGGGUGUGAGAGCAUGACCCGCCGCAUCGGAACUGAGACACUGUCCGGACUCCUACGGGAGGCUGCAGUAACGAAUCUUCCGCAAUGCGCGAAAGCGUGACGGAGCAAUGCCGCGUGUGGGAUGAAGCAGCUUCGCUGUGUAAACCACUGUCAGGGUCUAGGAAGAACUGACCAGACCCAGAGGAAGGACCGGCUAAUCUCGUGCCAGCAGCCGCGGUAAUACGAGAGGUCCAAGCGUUAAUCGGAAUCACUGGGCUUAAAGCGUCCGCAGGCUGACCAGUAAGCAUCUUGUGAAAUCCCACAGCUCAACUGUGGAACUGCAGGGUGAACUGCUGGUCUUGAGGUAGGUAGGGGUCAUCAGAACGUACGGUGGAGCGGUGAAAUGCAUAGAUAUCGUACGGAAUGCCGAAGGUGAAGACAGGUGACUGGGCCUAUACUGACGCUCAUGGACGAAAGCGUGGGGAUCAAACAGGAUUAGAUACCCUGGUAGUCCACGCCGUAAACGAUGUACACUGGGUCGGUGGCGCUUCGACGCGUUGCCGGCCGUAGAGAAAUUAUUAAGUGUACCGCCUGGGGAGUACGGUCGCAAGGCUAAAACUCAAAGGAAUUGACGGGGGCUCACACAAGCGGUGGAGCAUGUUGCUUAAUUCGAAGCAACGCGAAGAACCUUACCUGGGCUUGACAUGUACGGAUUAGCUCUUGGAAACAUGAGUGACGCCUUCGGGUGGAACGUACACAGGUGCUGCAUGGCUGUCAUCAGCUCGUGCUGUGAAGUGUUGGGUUAAGUCCUUUAACGAGCGCAACCCUUGUCGCUAGUUGCCAGCGCGUAAUGGCGGGGACUCUAGCGAGACUGCCGGUGUCAAACCGGAGGAAGGUGGGGAUGACGUCAAGUCCUCAUGGCCCUUACGCCCAGGGAUGCAAACGUGCUACAAUGGUAGAUACAAUGCGACGCAAGACCGCGAGGUGGAGCAAAUCGCAAAAAGUCUGCCCCAGUUCGGAUAGUAGUCUGCAACUCGACUACUUGAAGCCGGAAUCGCUAGUAAUCGGAGAUCAGCUACGCUCCGGUGAAUACGUUCCUGAGCCUUGUACACACCGCCCGUCACGUCAUGGAAGCCGGGAGUGCCCGAAGCCGCCUCGAUUCAGGGGUGUCCACGGCAAGCUUGGUAACUGGGACGAAGUCGUAACAAGGUA